GACGAACGCUGGCGGCGUGCUUAACACAUGCAAGUCGAACGGAAAGGCCCUGCUUUUGUGGGGUGCUCGAGUGGCGAACGGGUGAGUAACACGUGAGUAACCUGCCCUUGACUUUGGGAUAACUUCAGGAAACUGGGGCUAAUACCGGAUAGGAGCUCCUGCUGCAUGGUGGGGGUUGGAAAGUUUCGGCGGUUGGGGAUGGACUCGCGGCUUAUCAGCUUGUUGGUGGGGUAGUGGCUUACCAAGGCUUUGACGGGUAGCCGGCCUGAGAGGGUGACCGGGCACCUUGGGACUGAGGUACGGCCCAGACUCCUACGGGAGGCAGCAGUGGGGAAUAUUGCACAAUGGGCGGGAGCCUGAUGCAGCAACGCCGGGUGCGGGAUGACGGCCUUCGGGUUGUAAACCGCUUUCGCCUGUGACGAAGCGUGAGUGACGGUAAUGGGUAAAGAAGCACCGGCUAACUACGUG
Molecule: ribosomal RNA, 468 nt
Filed under: uncultured bacterium
Lineage: Bacteria
Description: partial 16S ribosomal RNA
Rfam family: Bacterial small subunit ribosomal RNA
Source: RNAcentral